UGGUCCCGUAGUUUAACUGGAUAGAACGAGGGAUUCCGGUUCCCUUGGUGGGGGUUCGAGUCCUCCCGGGAUCACCCA
RNAcentral lists this transfer RNA (78 nucleotides) under Prolixibacter sp. NT017. RNAcentral describes it as "tRNA-Arg". It matches the Rfam family "tRNA". From Rfam's summary of the family: Transfer RNA (tRNA) molecules are approximately 80 nucleotides in length. Their secondary structure includes four short double-helical elements and three loops (D, anti-codon, and T loops). Further hydrogen bonds mediate the characteristic L-shaped molecular structure. tRNAs have two regions of fundamental functional importance: the anti-codon, which is responsible for specific mRNA codon recognition, and the 3' end, to which the tRNAs corresponding amino acid is attached (by aminoacyl-tRNA synthetases). tRNAs cope with the degeneracy of the genetic code in two manners: having more than one tRNA (with a specific anti-codon) for a particular amino acid; and 'wobble' base-pairing, i.e. permitting non-standard base-pairing at the 3rd anti-codon position. Lineage: Bacteria; Pseudomonadati; Bacteroidota; Bacteroidia; Marinilabiliales; Prolixibacteraceae. The record is from RNAcentral.